RNAcentral lists this transfer RNA (77 nucleotides) under Candidatus Tachikawaea gelatinosa. RNAcentral's name for it is "tRNA-Arg". It matches the Rfam family "tRNA". From Rfam's summary of the family: Transfer RNA (tRNA) molecules are approximately 80 nucleotides in length. Lineage: Bacteria; Pseudomonadati; Pseudomonadota; Gammaproteobacteria; Enterobacterales; Enterobacteriaceae. The record is from RNAcentral.
GCGCCUGUAGCUCAGUUGGAUAGAGCGCUGCCCUCCGAAGGCAGAGGUCUCGGGUUCAAAUCCUGUCAGGCGCACUA